UACGGGGGGAGCAAGCGUUGUCCGGAUUUAUUGGGCGUAAAGGGCGUGUAGGUGGAUUUGUAAGUGAGUGGUGAAAUCCCGGGGCUUAACUCCGGAACUGCCUUUCAUACUGCAAAUCUCGAGUGCGAGAGGGGGAGAUGGAAUUCCUGGUGUAGCGGUGGAAUGCGUAGAUAUCAGGAGGAACACCGGUGGCGAAGGCGAUCUCCUGGCUCGCAACUGACACUGAGGCGCGAAAGCGUGGGGAGCAAACAGGAUUAGAUACCCCAGUA
Molecule: ribosomal RNA, 269 nt
Filed under: uncultured prokaryote
Description: partial 16S ribosomal RNA
Rfam family: Bacterial small subunit ribosomal RNA
Source: RNAcentral